UGUAGUAGUGAAUUAUGGCUUAUUCUCUUUACCAGUUAUGUUAUUGGUAGAGGAGGAAACUUGACUAUGUUGAUGCUAGCCUUGGUGCUUUCCCGCGAAGUGCCUCCGCUAUUUCAGAAGGUUUCACGAUUGCUAGCUAGCUGCGGUACUUUCAUUUUUGGCAUCAAAGGACCCGUCCCGUUUGUUGUUUGGUGUGAAUGUUUUAGAAUUGGCUUCAAAUAUGCAGCAAGUUUCACAGGGUUCGCGCAUCAAUGUAAUUAGCAAGGGGGGAUCAAAGACACAGACUCCUAGCCUUGCACCUGACUCUAUUGAUGGAUUCCCAGACUUUGUAGAAGAUUUUUUCAGAAAAAUUCCUCCCAGGUUAAGGAUUAUCUGUAUAAUUGUACUCAGACAAUCUUAUGCUCCACUAUUUAAACCAUUGUUCGGUUCAU
Rosa chinensis is the source of this 431-nucleotide long non-coding RNA. RefSeq lists it as uncharacterized. NCBI's taxonomy places the organism in Eukaryota, Viridiplantae, Streptophyta, Magnoliopsida, Rosales, Rosaceae. The record is from RefSeq and is a predicted model, not a curated record. The transcript is spliced from 4 exons.